Molecule: long non-coding RNA, 777 nt
Filed under: Rattus norvegicus (Norway rat)
Lineage: Eukaryota; Metazoa; Chordata; Mammalia; Rodentia; Muridae
Description: long non-coding RNA NONRATT007568
Source: RNAcentral
UUUCGGGGAAGGUAAGGGAGGCAUUGUGGGAGUGGCUGGGGACCGUGGGACAGUGUGUUGGGCAGUGAGUGGGCGUGAGUGUGGUUACUAGCCUGGUGGCCCUGAUUACUAUCUUGGCAAGCCCUGUGGACCCUGAGAGUAGAGAGCAGAUUGUGUUGGCUGGAGAGGCUGUCAGUUAGUUUGGCUUUCUAACCCUUUUCUUGAUUUAGCUGCUGUAGGCCACUAAAUGGCCCACAGGGAAAGGAUCCCAGGAUGGUCAGGUUCAGAGUGAGGGCAGGACCAGAUGAGCACUGCUUACCAGUGAGUUCUAGCAAGAAAGUCACAGGGCUUCAGCUAUUCAAGCCCUUUUACGUGGUUGCUGCAGAGCUGAACUUGGGCUCUCCCUGCUCAGCUCCCGCACCUGCUUCAGUGGUGAGAGGUGGGGUCCCAGGGUCUUGGGCUCAGCUGGGUCAUCACCCUGUGACAGUGGUGAAGUGGCUGUCCUCAGGAGGAGCAGAGAGGCCUGGGGACAGAGCCAAGCAUGUUAGCACUUUUUCUUUGCUGCUUUUGUUUGCUCGGGACAGGGCUUCUCUGUGCGGCCCUGGCUGUCCUGGAACUCACUCUAUAGACCAGGCUGGCCUCAAACUCACAGGGAACCACUGGGAUUGAAGGUGUGUGCCACCACCACCACCUGGCGAGUUUCCGUUCUUACGGAUAAUUGUCAGUGAAGUACCAAAUGGCCUCAUUUUGAAUGGAUGAAUGAAUGAAUGAAUGAAUGAAUGAAUGAAGGUUAUGAUG